This 825-nucleotide long non-coding RNA is filed under the name Olea europaea subsp. europaea. The record is from RNAcentral. Lineage: Eukaryota; Viridiplantae; Streptophyta; Magnoliopsida; Lamiales; Oleaceae.
AUUUAUCAAUGCUACUCCUACUCCUGCACCUCUAGAGGUUUUCGAUCCAUCGAAAUAUAUAACUUAAGAUUUUAAUUUGAAUGAAUUGAUCUCUAACUCAAUUUCCUCAGGCAUAUCAAGAAAUGGAUGAUCGGCCAGAAAGUUAGCCAAAACCUGAUUUUUGACUACCUUUUGGGGUAUGUAUUGUAUUUCGAAAUCUAAUAAAGCUAAUGUCCAAAGGCCUCCCCUUUGGUGCAAAAUAGGGCGAGAGAACAUAUACUUAACCAAAUUUACUUUAGAAAUUAAAUGAACGGUUACGGGCCGUAAAUAAGCCCUUAAUUUUGUACAUGUGAAAUACAAUGCAAGACAUAAUUUUUUAAUGGCAGAAUAAUUACAUUCACAUUUUGUUAACCGUCUACUCAAGUAGUAAAUCGCCCUUUCUUCACCAAAUUGGUCUUCCUGCGCGACCAUUCCAGCUAUUGAUUCUUUUUCAGCCGAUACAUACACUUUCAUUGGCCGUCAUUGGAUUGGUGACACCAACACUGGUGGAUUUGAUAAAUAUGUCUUUAGGCUUUCAAAAGUCUUUUGAUGCUUUUCUUUCCAGACGAAUUCGUCCAGAUUUUUCAACUUUAAAAGCGACGAAAAAGUUUUAAUUCGCCCUGAACAGUUAGAAAUAAAGCGUCUUAAAAAGUUUACUUGGCCUAGAAACCUUUGCAAUUCUUUUUGUUGUUAGGUGGUUUGGCCUCUAGAAUGACCUUCGCUUUAUUUUUAUCAAGUUCAAUCCCUCUUUUGUGAACUAAGAAACCAAGAAAAUUUCCUGCAUUAACACCAAAUGCACAUUUCAAG